UAACCUCCCAAACCCAAUGUGAACGUUACCAAACUGUUGCCUCGGCGGGAUCUCUGCCCCGGGUGCGUCGCAGCCCCGGACCAAGGCGCCCGCCGGAGGACCAACCAAAACUCUUAUUGUAUACCCCCUCGCGGGUUUUUUACUAUCUGAGCCAUCUCGGCGCCCCUCGUGGGCGUUUCGAAAAUGAAUCAAAACUUUCAACAACGGAUCUCUUGGUUCUGGCAUCGAUGAAGAACGCAGCGAAAUGCGAUAAGUAAUGUGAAUUGCAGAAUUCAGUGAAUCAUCGAAUCUUUGAACGCACAUUGCGCCCGCCAGUAUUCUGGCGGGCAUGCCUGUCCGAGCGUCAUUUCAACCCUCGAACCCCUCCGGGGGGUCGGCGUUGGGGAUCGGCCCUUUACGGGGCCGGCCCCGAAAUACAGUGGCGGUCUCGCCGCAGCCUCUCCUGCGCAGUAGUUUGCACACUCGCAUCGGGAGCGCGGCGCGUCCACAGCCGUUAAACACCCCAAACUUCUGAAAUGUUGACCUCGGAUCAGGUAGGAAUACCCGCUGAACUUAAGCAUAUCAAUAAGCGGAGGAA
RNAcentral lists this ribosomal RNA (577 nucleotides) under fungal sp. pp1 PL-2010. RNAcentral describes it as "eukaryotic LSU rRNA". The stretch from base 193 to 346 matches the Rfam family "5.8S ribosomal RNA". Lineage: Eukaryota; Fungi. The record is from RNAcentral.